GAAGGAACGUUGAAGACGACGACGUUGAUAGGUCGGGUGUGUAAGUGUAGCGAUACAUUGAGCUAACCGAUACUAAUGAACCGUGAGGCUUAACCUUACAACGCCGAAG
RNAcentral lists this ribosomal RNA (109 nucleotides) under Citrobacter freundii. Its description in RNAcentral is "partial 23S ribosomal RNA". The stretch from base 1 to 97 matches the Rfam family "Bacterial large subunit ribosomal RNA", at positions 2828 to 2925 of the family's 2925-position model. Lineage: Bacteria; Pseudomonadati; Pseudomonadota; Gammaproteobacteria; Enterobacterales; Enterobacteriaceae. The record is from RNAcentral.